RNAcentral lists this long non-coding RNA (199 nucleotides) under Hordeum vulgare. RNAcentral describes it as "long non-coding RNA (HVUL_LNC016024)". Lineage: Eukaryota; Viridiplantae; Streptophyta; Magnoliopsida; Poales; Poaceae. The record is from RNAcentral.
AAAAAAUGGCUGAAUCUAAGGAAUAGAAUGAAAAGAUACUCGCCUAGAAAAAAAAAGAUUGCAAAAAGAGUUGACCUUUUACGCGGAUGAAACAAAGUACUAUCCACACAUAAAAGAAAUAUGAUUGAGACGGGGAAAUUCUGUUCGGAGUUUAAUUGACGAAAAGAAUUGAUUUUCCUUCGAGAAAAAUAUAGAGAAU